RNAcentral lists this ribosomal RNA (465 nucleotides) under uncultured bacterium. RNAcentral's name for it is "partial 16S ribosomal RNA". It matches the Rfam family "Bacterial small subunit ribosomal RNA", at positions 28 to 507 of the family's 1533-position model. The record is from RNAcentral.
GACGAACGCUGGCGGCGUGCUUAACACGUGCAAGUCGAACGGAAAGGCCCUGCUUGCAGGGUACUCGAGUGGCGAACGGGUGAGUAACACGUGGGUGAUCUGCCCUGCACUUCGGGAUAAGCCUGGGAAACUGGGUCUAAUACCGGAUAGGAGCCAUUUUUAGUGUGAUGGUUGGAAAGUUUUUUCGGUGUAGGAUGAGCUCGCGGCCUAUCAGCUUGUUGGUGGGGUAAUGGCCUACCAAGGCGGCGACGGGUAGCCGGCCUGAGAGGGUGGACGGCCACAUUGGGACUGAGAUACGGCCCAGACUCCUACGGGAGGCAGCAGUGGGGAAUAUUGCACAAUGGGCGCAAGCCUGAUGCAGCGACGCCGCGUGGGGGAUGACGGCCUUCGGGUUGUAAACUCCUUUCGCUAGGGACGAAGCUUUUUGUGACGGUACCUAGAUAAGAAGCACCGGCUAACUACGUA